GAACAACCAAACCUGCCCCUACUGUUUCGAGUGUCAGUGCCUCCACAGCUGAUGAUGCAGCAGGUUCAUCCACUGCACAAGCGACAACAAGGGAGGAGCACUUACAUGUGACUGAAAGCGAGGAGCAGUUACAAGCACCUACAUUUACUGAUCCACUGGUUUCAAACUCAGCCGGCAUGACAGGUCCUUCUACAUCUGCACCCACUGCUAUAGAUUUCCCAC
This is a long non-coding RNA of Cyprinodon tularosa, 222 nucleotides long. RefSeq lists it as uncharacterized. NCBI's taxonomy places the organism in Eukaryota, Metazoa, Chordata, Actinopteri, Cyprinodontiformes, Cyprinodontidae. The transcript has 3 exons. The record is from RefSeq and is a predicted model, not a curated record.